AGUUAUUGUCUUUGGAUGAAAUCGUUACUGGAAAGAUUUCAAAACACCACACUGGAUUUGUGAGGGAACUAUUAGCCAAUGGUAAUGAAUUUGGGAUCCAGUUUCCAUUUGAUCUUGAUGUUAAAAGUAAAGCAUUGAUACUUGGAGCAGCCUUUCUUAUUGACUACAUGUAUUUUGAACUCUGGGCAUAAGAAUCAGCCUGAAAGACUAUGACAGAGAUUACUGACAUUAACUUUUGCCAGUACUCCACAAAAUUAAACAACGUGCACUGAAAAUAUCUAAAUAAAGUUUUAUUUUACUAAAA
This is a long non-coding RNA of Carlito syrichta (Philippine tarsier), 304 nucleotides long. RefSeq lists it as uncharacterized. NCBI's taxonomy places the organism in Eukaryota, Metazoa, Chordata, Mammalia, Primates, Tarsiidae. The transcript has 2 exons. The record is from RefSeq and is a predicted model, not a curated record.